RNAcentral lists this small RNA (28 nucleotides) under Bombyx mori (domestic silkworm). RNAcentral describes it as "ovarian small RNA-37150". The record is from RNAcentral. Lineage: Eukaryota; Metazoa; Arthropoda; Insecta; Lepidoptera; Bombycidae.
UUCCAUUGCACGAUGGAUGGUAUGCAGU